AUACGAAGGGGGCUAGCGUUGUUCGGAAUUACUGGGCGUAAAGCGCGCGUAGGCGGAUUGGUCAGUUAGGGGUGAAAUCCCAGGGCUUAACCCUGGAACUGCCUCCAAAACUUCCAAUCUAGAGAUCGAGAGAGGUGAGUGGAAUUCCAAGUGUAGAGGUGAAAUUCGUAGAUAUUCGGAGGAACACCAGUGGCGAAGGCGGCUCACUGGCUCGAUACUGACGCUGAGGUGCGAAAGCGUGGGGAGCAAACAGGAUUAGAAACCCGGGUAGUCC
Molecule: ribosomal RNA, 274 nt
Filed under: uncultured bacterium
Lineage: Bacteria
Description: partial 16S ribosomal RNA
Rfam family: Bacterial small subunit ribosomal RNA
Source: RNAcentral